CAGUCUUUCUGGACUCGCCUUCCCCAGUUAAUCAGUCAGGAAUCUCAGCACAAGCGAAAGUUUCCAAGGGAGAGUGGACAUUUCAUUGAAAGCAGCAUAAAUGUCUUUUUUUUCCCUUCUACUUUAUCGGGGAAUGAAAAUAGAUUGAAGGCAGAAAGCUCUGGCAUCUACAGGAGGCCGAAGCGUCCAGGCGGCUUGUGACUGGCUGUUUUCACACGUGUGCGACCCCUUUCUCGAU
Molecule: non-coding RNA, 238 nt
Organism: Podarcis muralis (Common wall lizard)
Lineage: Eukaryota; Metazoa; Chordata; Lepidosauria; Squamata; Lacertidae
Source: RefSeq, a predicted model, not a curated record